RNAcentral lists this ribosomal RNA (423 nucleotides) under uncultured bacterium. Its description in RNAcentral is "partial 16S ribosomal RNA". It matches the Rfam family "Bacterial small subunit ribosomal RNA", at positions 359 to 774 of the family's 1533-position model. The record is from RNAcentral.
GAAUAUUGGACAAUGGGGGGAACCCUGAUCCAGCCAUGCCGCGUGUGUGAAGAAGGCCUUUUGGUUGUAAAGCACUUUAAGCGAGGAGGAGGCUACUCUAGUUAAUACCUAGAGAUAGUGGACGUUACUCGCAGAAUAAGCACCGGCUAACUCUGUGCCAGCAGCCGCGGUAAUACAGAGGGUGAAAGCGUUAAUCGGAUUUACUGGGCGUAAAGCGGCCGUAGUUGGCCAAUUAAGUCAAUGGUGAAUUCCCCGAGCUUAACUUGGAAAUUGCAUUCGAUACUGUUGGGCCAGAGUAUGGGAGAGAAGGGUAGAAUUCCAGGUGUAGCGUUGAAAUGCGUAGAGAUCUGGAGGAAUACCGAUGGCGAAGGCAGCCACUUGGCCUAAUACGGACAUUGAGGUGCGAAAGCAUGGGAGCAAACA